Molecule: ribosomal RNA, 279 nt
Filed under: uncultured bacterium
Lineage: Bacteria
Description: partial 16S ribosomal RNA
Rfam family: Bacterial small subunit ribosomal RNA
Source: RNAcentral
UGCCAGCCGCCGCGGUAAUACGGGGGGUGCAAGCGUUGUUCGGAUUGACUGGGCGUAAAGAGCGCGUAGGCGGAUUUGUAAGUCGAUUGUGAAAGCCCAGGGCUUAACCCUGGAAUUGCAAUCGAAACUACAAGUCUUGAAUACCCAAGGGGUUGGUGGAAUUCCAGGUGUAGCAGUGAAAUGCGUAGAUAUCUGGAGGAACACCAGAGGCGAAGGCGGCCAACUGGUGGUGUAUUGACGCUGAGGCGCGAAAGCGUGGGUAGCAAACAGGAUUAGAUA